GGUUAAGCGACUAAGCGUACACGGUGGAUGCCCUGGCAGUCAGAGGCGAUGAAGGACGUGCUAAUCUGCGAAAAGCGUCGGUAAGGUGAUAUGAACCGUUAUAACCGGCGAUGUCCGAAUGGGGAAACCCAGUGCAAUUCGUUGCACUAUCGUUAACUGAAUACAUAGGUUAACGAGGCGAACCGGGGGAACUGAAACAUCUAAGUACCCCGAGGAAAAGAAAUCAACCGAGAUUCCCCCAGUAGCGGCGAGCGAACGGGGAGCAGCCCAGAGUCUGAAUCAGCUUGUGUGUUAGUGGAACGGUCUGGAAAGUCCGACGGUACAGGGUGAUAGUCCCGUACACCAAAAUGCACAGGCUGUGAACUCGAAGAGUAGGGCGGGACACGUGGUAUCCUGUCUGAAUAUGGGGGGACCAUCCUCCAAGGCUAAAUACUCCUGACUGACCGAUAGUGAACCAGUACCGUGAGGGAAAGGCGAAAAGAACCCCGGCGAGGGGAGUGAAAAAGAACCUGAAACCGUGUACGUACAAGCAGUGGGAGCACCUUCGGGUGUGACUGCGUACCUUUUGUAUAAUGGGUCAGCGACUUAUAUUCUGUAGCAAGGUUAACCGUAUAGGGGAGCCGCAGGGAAACCGAGUCUUAACUGGGCGUUAAGUUGCAGGGUAUAGACCCGAAACCCGGUGAUCUAGCCAUGGGCAGGUUGAAGGUUGGGUAACACUAACUGGAGGACCGAACCGACUAAUGUUGAAAAAUUAGCGGAUGACUUGUGGCUGGGGGUGAAAGGCCAAUCAAACCGGGAGAUAGCUGGUUCUCCCCGAAAGCUAUUUAGGUAGCGCCUCGUGAAUUCAUCUUCGGGGGUAGAGCACUGUUUCGGCUAGGGGGUCAUCCCGACUUACCAACCCGAUGCAAACUACGAAUACCGAAGAAUGUUAUCACGGGAGACACACGGCGGGUGCUAACGUCCGUCGUGAAGAGGGAAACAACCCAGACCGCCAGCUAAGGUCCCAAAGUCAUGGUUAAGUGGGAAACGAUGUGGGAAGGCACAGACAGCCAGGAUGUUGGCUUAGAAGCAGCCAUCAUUUAAAGAAAGCGUAAUAGCUCACUGGUCGAGUCGGCCUGCGCGGAAGAUGUAACGGGGCUAAACCAUGCACCGAAGCUGCGGCAGCGACACUAUGUGUUGUUGGGUAGGGGAGCGUUCUGUAAGCCUGCGAAGGUGUGCUGUGAGGCAUGCUGGAGGUAUCAGAAGUGCGAAUGCUGACAUAAGUAACGAUAAAGCGGGUGAAAAGCCCGCUCGCCGGAAGACCAAGGGUUCCUGUCCAACGUUAAUCGGGGCAGGGUGAGUCGACCCCUAAGGCGAGGCCGAAAGGCGUAGUCGAUGGGAAACAGGUUAAUAUUCCUGUACUUGGUGUUACUGCGAAGGGGGACGGAGAAGGCUAUGUUAGCCGGGCGACGGUUGUCCCGGUUUAAGCAUGUAGGCUGAUUGUCCAGGCAAAUCCGGAUAAUCAAGGCUGAGGUGUGAUGACGAGGCACUACGGUGCUGAAGUAACAAAUGCCCUGCUUCCAGGAAAAGCCUCUAAGCAUCAGGUAACAUCAAAUCGUACCCCAAACCGACACAGGUGGUCAGGUAGAGAAUACCAAGGCGCUUGAGAGAACUCGGGUGAAGGAACUAGGCAAAAUGGUGCCGUAACUUCGGGAGAAGGCACGCUGGUGUGUAGGUGAAGUCCCUGCGGAUGGAGCUGAGACCAGUCGAAGAUACCAGCUGGCUGCAACUGUUUAUUAAAAACACAGCACUGUGCAAACACGAAAGUGGACGUAUACGGUGUGACGCCUGCCCGGUGCCGGAAGGUUAAUUGAUGGGGUUAUCCGUAAGGAGAAGCUCUUGAUCGAAGCCCCGGUAAACGGCGGCCGUAACUAUAACGGUCCUAAGGUAGCGAAAUUCCUUGUCGGGUAAGUUCCGACCUGCACGAAUGGCGUAAUGAUGGCCAGGCUGUCUCCACCCGAGACUCAGUGAAAUUGAACUCGCUGUGAAGAUGCAGUGUACCCGCGGCAAGACGGAAAGACCCCGUGAACCUUUACUAUAGCUUGACACUGAACAUUGAGCCUUGAUGUGUAGGAUAGGUGGGAGGCUUUGAAGCGUGGACGCCAGUCUGCGUGGAGCCAACCUUGAAAUACCACCCUUUAAUGUUUGAUGUUCUAACGUUGGCCCCUGACCGGGGUUGCGGACAGUGUCUGGUGGGUAGUUUGACUGGGGCGGUCUCCUCCCAAAGCGUAACGGAGGAGCACGAAGGUUAGCUAAUCCUGGUCGGACAUCAGGAGGUUAGUGCAAUGGCAUAAGCUAGCUUGACUGCGAGCGUGACGGCGCGAGCAGGUGCGAAAGCAGGUCAUAGUGAUCCGGUGGUUCUGAAUGGAAGGGCCAUCGCUCAACGGAUAAAAGGUACUCCGGGGAUAACAGGCUGAUACCGCCCAAGAGUUCAUAUCGACGGCGGUGUUUGGCACCUCGAUGUCGGCUCAUCACAUCCUGGGGCUGAAGUAGGUCCCAAGGGUAUGGCUGUUCGCCAUUUAAAGUGGUACGCGAGCUGGGUUUAGAACGUCGUGAGACAGUUCGGUCCCUAUCUGCCGUGGGCGCUGGAGAAUUGAGGGGGGCUGCUCCUAGUACGAGAGGACCGGAGUGGACGCAUCACUGGUGUUCGGGUUGUCAUGCCAAUGGCACUGCCCGGUAGCUAAAUGCGGAAGAGAUAAGUGCUGAAAGCAUCUAAGCACGAAACUUGCCCCGAGAUGAGUUCUCCCUGAGACUUUAAGUCUCCUGAAGGAACGUUAAAGACGAUGACGUUGAUAGGCCGGGUGUGUAAGCGCAGCGAUGCGUUGAGCUAACCGGUACUAAUGAACCGUGAGGCUUAACCUU
RNAcentral lists this ribosomal RNA (2901 nucleotides) under Klebsiella pneumoniae. Its description in RNAcentral is "23S ribosomal RNA". It matches the Rfam family "Bacterial large subunit ribosomal RNA". The record is from RNAcentral. Lineage: Bacteria; Pseudomonadati; Pseudomonadota; Gammaproteobacteria; Enterobacterales; Enterobacteriaceae.